This 502-nucleotide ribosomal RNA is filed under the name uncultured bacterium. RNAcentral describes it as "partial 16S ribosomal RNA". It matches the Rfam family "Bacterial small subunit ribosomal RNA", at positions 30 to 523 of the family's 1533-position model. The record is from RNAcentral.
AUUGAACGCUGGCGGCAUGCCUUACACAUGCAAGUCGAACCGCAGCACGGGAGCUUGCUCCUGGUGGCGAGUGGCGAACGGGUGAGUAAAGCAUCGGAACGUGCCCUGAAGUGGGGGAUAACACAGCGAAAGUUACGCUAAUACCGCAUAUUCUGUGAGCAGGAAAGCAGGGGAUCGCAAGACCUUGUGCUUUAGGAGCGGCCGAUGUCGGAUUAGCUAGUUGGUGAGGUAAAGGCUCACCAAGGCGACGAUCCGUAGCGGGUCUGAGAGGAUGAUCCGCCACACUGGGGCUGAGACACGGCCCAGACUCCUACGGGAGGCAGCAGUGGGGAAUUUUGGACAAUGGGCGCAAGCCUGAUCCAGCCAUGCCGCGUGAGUGAAGAAGGCCUUCGGGUUGUAAAGCUCUUUCGGCGGGGAAGAAAUGGUAACGGCUAAUACCUGUUGCUGAUGACGGUACCCGCAUAAGAAGCACCGGCUAACUUCGUGCCAGCCGCCGCGGUAA